RNAcentral lists this ribosomal RNA (497 nucleotides) under uncultured bacterium. Its description in RNAcentral is "partial 16S ribosomal RNA". It matches the Rfam family "Bacterial small subunit ribosomal RNA", at positions 28 to 507 of the family's 1533-position model. The record is from RNAcentral.
GAUGAACGCUGGCGGCGUGCCUAAUACAUGCAAGUCGAGCGAACAGAUAAGGAGCUUGCUCCUUUGACGUUAGCGGCGGACGGGUGAGUAACACGUGGGUAACCUACCUAUAAGACUGGAAUAACUCCGGGAAACCGGGGCUAAUGCAGGAUAACAUGUUGAACCGCAUGGUUCUACAGUGAAAGGCGGCUUUGCUGUCACUUAUAGAUGGACCCGCGCCGUAUUAGCUAGUUGGUGAGGUAACGGCUCACCAAGGCAACGAUACGUAGCCGACCUGAGAGGGUGAUCGGCAACACUGGAACUGAGACACGGUCCAGACUCCUACGGGAGGCAGCAGUAGGGAAUCUUCCGCAAUGGGCGAAAGCCUGACGGAGCAACGCCGCGUGAGUGAUGAAGGUCUUCGGAUCGUAAAACUCUGUUAUUAGGGAAGAACAAAUGCGUAAGUAACUGUGCGCGUCUUGACGGUACCUAAUCAGAAAGCCACGGCUAACUACGUG